GUUUUUAUUAAACUUUAUUGUUUGUAUAGUUUAGGACUAGGUUGGUUGUUCUUGUUCUAGCAAGCCUACUCAUUGGCACAGAUGCUAAGAUAUUAGGCUUUAUGCUCAGCGGUGUGUGUCAAGCAGGUUGCUACACAGGAUGGGUCUCCUGCGUUGGAGCUGCGGGAUUUACGGCAGAUGCCGCAGUAGCUGCUCUAGUAGGUUUGGGUGGUGGAUUAGUACCCCCGGCUGCAGUAGCUGCUUGCAGCGCUGCGCAGGCAGCGUGUAUGACAGUGUGUGCUGCAUGUGUGCUUAUCCCAAUCUAGUGGUGAACUUGCCAUUCUAAAUGUAAAUAAUACUGUUCAUUUCUCAAAUAAACGAUACUCAUAACUCA
This is a long non-coding RNA of Eurytemora carolleeae, 373 nucleotides long. RefSeq lists it as uncharacterized. The transcript is spliced from 4 exons. Lineage: Eukaryota; Metazoa; Arthropoda; Copepoda; Calanoida; Temoridae. The record is from RefSeq and is a predicted model, not a curated record.